AUACUUACCUGUCAAGGGAGAUACUAUGAUCACAAAGGUGGUUUUCCCAGGGUGAGGCUCAUUCAUUGCACUGUGGGUGUGCUGAUCCCUACGAUUUCUCCUAAAUGCGGGUAACUUGACUGCAUAAUUUGUGAUAGUGGGGGGCUGUGUUUGCGCUCUUCCUUG
Molecule: small nuclear RNA, 165 nt
Organism: Mauremys mutica (yellowpond turtle)
Lineage: Eukaryota; Metazoa; Chordata; Testudines; Geoemydidae
Product: U1 spliceosomal RNA
Exons: 1
Source: RefSeq, a predicted model, not a curated record